RNAcentral lists this long non-coding RNA (2836 nucleotides) under Mus musculus (house mouse). Its description in RNAcentral is "long non-coding RNA chr11:86236591-86239427". The record is from RNAcentral. Lineage: Eukaryota; Metazoa; Chordata; Mammalia; Rodentia; Muridae.
UUGGCUUAAUCACAAUCUAAAACAGUUAAGAGAAUUUCGGUAGCAUGUAAAACCGUAUGAAGUAUGUUUAUUCUCAUGAAUUUAUUACCCAAAAUGGUAUGAUGUACAAUAUUAAUGUUGGAAACUUAAAUUUCCUCUCAUAAGUGACCUCUCAAGCCUGACAUUAAGACACUGAAGUAGAACCAACAUAAAGCAUACUUAGUAAAAGCAGUGCACACAUGCGCACUUGGGAGGCUGAGGCUGGUGGGUCACUAGAACCCAGGAGAUCAGGAGCAACCUGGGCAAUAUAAUGAAACCUCUUAUCAAAAAAAAUACUUUAAAAUUACUUAAUAAAUUGUACUAACUAUUGGCGUCUUAAGUUAGUGAGUAGAAAAGGUUUAUCCAAUAAAUGGAGACCAAAAAAAAAAAAAAAAAUAGCUCACACACACAUUUUACACACAUGACUCUACACAGACAACUGUACUUCAAAUGGACCAACUUAAAGUCGGUGCAGACCUGAAGUACAUACAGUGCAAGGGUGCUUGGCUAGCACAAGUGAAGCCCGAUGUUGUACUUUAGUACUGAGAAAAAAAGAUUUCAAUGCAAAGCAUAAAGCCACAAAUGAGCCAGAAUAAAGUCUGGAAAGCUGAGUGUGAUGACUCACAUCUACAGCCCAGCAGUCCUGUGAAAAGGCAGGGGAAUCACAUAAAAGUGUGAGCCACUCCAGGCUACAAAACAAAACCUCCUCUAAAAGAAACAAAACAAAAACAAACAAACAAAAGAACGGAAUAACUAGUUUUACUAAUAAUCAGUAAAAUAUAAAAAAGAGGGACCAUUCUUCGCCAAAUUUGCAGGCCAGGCACGGUGGUAUGCGCCUUUAAUCCCAGCUCUCAGGAAGCAGAGGCAGAGGCUGACAGAUCUCUAUGGUUACCUUGUCUCGAUAAAUAAGUAUAUAAAUAAGUUAAAAACCAAAAGUUAUAAAGAAUGGAGUUGUCAAGGCAUGGUAAGACUUUAUGAAACCAAGGGCUCUGAUGCAUUAAUGUGAACAGUGAAACUGGAAACAUCUCUAUAAAAAAUACUAUGAUAGAACUCAUAAACACUUGGCAAAUUCUCACUUAUUAAGUAACUUUGGCCACAGUUUUAUCUUAAAUAAACUAAGUGUUUGAGGAUAGAGCUGUGUGACUAUCUGUGUUUACAUUUAUAUAAGUAUUCAUCUAAGGUUUAGAAUAAAUUAGAAAAUCUACACAGGAGAUUUAAAAAACAAAAAACAAAAAACCAUUGAGGCCAGCAUAGAUUUCAGGCCAGCCUGUCUCAAACAGCAACAACUAAAGAGAAGCCUGGAGAAACGGCAUCCUUGUCAGGUUACCCAGACUCUGGCAGCUGGGUCUCCCACUCCCUCUUCUGGCUUCUGUGGGCAGCUACACACAUGUACACAUGCCCACACAGACACCCAUACAUACACAAAAUUUGAAUAAAUGCAAUUCCUAUUUUUCUAGGAAUUCCUGUGUAAAAUUUCAAACUAGCAAACAACUAAAACUACUUAAAUGAACACAAUGUAUUUAUUUUAUACUAUAACAUUAUAGAUAUACUAGCUUUAUGUAUAUAUGUAUAUAUAGUUAUAUUAUAGUUAUAUACUAUAACUAGCAUAGACACAGUUUCUUUCAGAAAAAAAGAUAAUUAACAAUUACCUUCAUCCCCAAAGUGGAGCAGACUAAGUCAAUGAUAGCACUAAGCUGGUUGCUAUGGAAAUACAUGGCCACCAAUAGCAACAUCUCCCCAAAAGAAGCAGAGACACCUGAUGUACUGUUAAAACAGAAGAAAAGCUAUGAGUUCCAAGGAGGAAUAAGUAAGAAAAGCUUUCUCAACUGAGAGGAACAAUGGCUGCUUGCCCUACCUCUCAAAGUACGCCUCUUCCUUGAUCAUCCAGCUGAGCCACAGCACCAUCAGCUGCUCCUGCUCCGGCGUGCUGCAGAGACACCAUGGCACCACGUCACCAGAGCGUGGCGACAACACGCUGAAAGACACUUUUCCUCAUUCUUUUUUUUUUUUUUUUUAAGAUCUAUUUAUUGUUAUUUGUAAGUACACUGUAGCUGUCUUCAGACACACCAGAAGAGGGCAUCAGAUCUCAUUACCGAUGGUUGUGAGCCACCAUGUGGUUGCUGGGAUUUGAACUCAGGCCCUUCGGAAGGGCAGUCGGUGCUCUUACCAGCUGAGCCAUCUCACUAGCACCCAGCUUUUCCUCAUUCUUAAAGACUUAUUUAUUCUUAUUUGGUAUGUACAAGAAUAUUGCCUGUUUGUACCAUGUGCAUGCCUGCUGCCCUCAGAUCCCCUGGAACUAGUGUUUCGGAUGCUUCUGAGCCACUGUGUUGGUGCUGGGAACUGAACCCAGGGCCUCUGCAAGAGCAUGAACUGUUAUUACCCCUGAGCCAUCUCUCCAGCCCUGAAAUUAUUUUUCCUAGGAGGUUUUUUUCUUCUCUACUUUGAAAUACCAACUCAAAUUAAUGGUUUGCUGAAUUUGACUACUAACUACAAACAAGAUGAGAACUCAAAGAUGGAGACUUUGCCUUCAUCAACCUGAACUGUCAAAACCUCCUCAAUUCUAUAUAUUUGUAAAUUGAAGAGAGUGGCAUUCCCUCUUAUUCCUUGGAAAAACAAAGGAAGGUCUCUGGGAUUAAAAUGUUAAAAGAACUAUAUUAAGAACGCUAACCAGUUACUUCCUAUAGGAAAGAUUUUAAAGAUCUAAAGUUAAAGCAUAAGCAUCACGUUUGGUGAGAGACAGAGGAAAGCAGGUCUCUAUGACUUCAAAACUAGCCUGGUCUACAUGGUAAGACCCUGUUUCAAAAGAACAAAAACGAGU